UCAAUUAUAGUUUUUGUGUCAUAGAAAUGUUAUGUAAAAAGUCUUAUAAUCAUAUAAAUAUGCGGAUAUAUUUACGACCAUAAGUUUUUUUUUUUAAAACUCCAUACUUAUUUAAACUUUGCCACAUACAAUAAAAAGGACGAAGUAAAAAAAAGCUGUCGACAUAUAGUAGAAAGAAUGGACCCUCUUGUUGGCGGCUCCUGUUUAGAUAGAUAGACAAGUGUUAUAUAUAUGUCUAUGUGUACACACAUAUUAUGCUUUGACAAGAAAUCUUUGAUCUUUAUUGCUCCUCACUUCCUCUUUAGGCUUUAGUUUCUUAUUUAGUUUUUGGUCCAGAAGAAGAAUUAGAAACAGAGGUAGAAUAAUCCAACAAGCUAUAUAGCAACUUUCUUUGAUUUUCUAAUAGUACUUCAUGAAAACUAACAUCUUUUAAUAUAUUCUCUCAGAAGCCCAAGAAUGGUCUGAAAAGGUGUUUGCAUGGCAAGUCAAGGAAUUGGAGAGACUGGUUUAACAAACUCAGGACCAUCAAAUCACCAUAAUAUGCCUUAUGCCGUUUUUAGGGGGCUAAAUCCUGCUAGCACAAUUAGCUUCAUCUAUCAUUCUACUCCCAAGUAAGUGUAUAUUCUUGUGAUAAAUUCUGUUUCUUGUUUCUUUUUUCCUCUUAAAUUUUAACAUUUAAGUCUGUUCCAGCUUGUUUUAACAUGUUUUUUUUUUGCUAUAGUAAUCCAGAAGGAACUUUUGAUUUUGGAGAGCUAGAAGAAGCUU
RNAcentral lists this long non-coding RNA (765 nucleotides) under Nicotiana tabacum (common tobacco). Its description in RNAcentral is "long non-coding RNA (NTAB_LNC014582)". The record is from RNAcentral. Lineage: Eukaryota; Viridiplantae; Streptophyta; Magnoliopsida; Solanales; Solanaceae.